This is a long non-coding RNA of Gadus morhua (Atlantic cod), 483 nucleotides long. RefSeq lists it as uncharacterized. Lineage: Eukaryota; Metazoa; Chordata; Actinopteri; Gadiformes; Gadidae. The transcript has 3 exons. The record is from RefSeq and is a predicted model, not a curated record.
UCACAUCAAUAGAGAAUGGGUAGGAUAUUAUUUUCCCUAGGUCAUUCUCAGCUGUGCAGAGAUAUUGUCCAGAGUCAGAAGACUGGAUGGGAUGAAAGGAAAGCUGUUGUCCUUGGACACUGCGUCCGGGGGGAUGACCUGUAGUAACCUUGGUCCAGGUGUACUUUGCUACUGGGUUGGCCUCGCUGGUGCAGGUCAGACUCACUGAACUGCCCUCCUUUAUUACACCAGGGGGAGUCCCUCCCACUGAGGGGGUCUCUGGAGCGAACACUGAUGGAGAGGUGAGAUGUUUGGAUCCUUGAACAGCACAUGAAGCACUGUAGUCUGAGUUAAUGUAGAACCAGAGAAACCUUCUUUGAUAUUGUUGAGGAAUUCCAUUCCUGUACCAGGUGUACGUAAGACCGGUUGAAUCACACAUGCUGUGACAUUCCAGCUGUACCCUGUAAAGACUGCUUGGACGAAUUACCACUUCCAUCUGGAUAU